CAAUGCAAAACUGUGCGGUCCACUUCUCAAAUAAGAAAAAAGCUUCGCGAAAAAGAAGAAAACAGUUUAUCUUUCUUACCUUCUCUGUUGAACCAAACAAAACUCAUCUCUCUCACUCUCACCCUCCAUUCAUGAAAUCACCGCAGAAUAUCCAGCCAUCUACAAGAUUCGCCAUCCGUAUCUUCUCUCUCGAUAGAUCGACUACGACUCGAGCAUCUACCAGAUCCGCUGAGAUUCGAGCAUCUACCGGAUCGGCUGAGACUCGGGCAUCUAUCGGAUCCGCUGAGACUCGAGCACCUACUAGAUCCGCCGUUUGUUGUUUUCGACGGAUCCCUGUCUCUCUCCCUACCUCCCUUUCUGUUUCUAGUUUGUGGACUUGUGGGUUUGUUGCAUCCGGUUCGGGCCUGAAUUUUUGCAUUGUGUAGAGCUAUUUGGAUGCUUAAUGGCAAUAUUUGGAAGGUUAUAGUGUUUUAUCAUUUACGUUGGAAAUCUUUUUUGGAGUUGAGACCAUUCAUUGGGAAACUGUUUUGAAGUCGUAAUUUUUCUUCAGGAAAAAUCUUGUCUUUCUUGGUUGACACAAAGUAAGAUUUUUGCUAUCUUUGGAUGAGGUCUCACGAGUACAGCUUUAAGGGGGAAAAGGAUGUCAUCAUAUUGUUCCAUGUGGAUGACACCACACAAUGUUUUGCAGGUACCUAUAUAAUCUUCUUGGGCUUUGCAUCAACUUCUUAUACAACAGUUGGCAAAUUUUUUGAGCUACAUUGUAUUGCUGCAAGGUCGAGCUACAUUGUAUUGCUGCAAAGGCACCUUCCUAGCUAGUCGCGACGAGGAUGAUAAUAUUGAUGAAAUGAGCAAGAGAAGGAUAGAAAGGAUUGGAAUGUGUAUUAGGAGUUUCACAUUUUGGAUGUAGAGUAAUGUCCAAUACUUAUACAUAUUUGUUUUUUAUAUAUGAAUACUGUUCAGUUUGUAUUCACUUUGAAAUGCAAUAUAUGACAGUUGAAUUGAAAUUUAUGUCA
This is a long non-coding RNA of Rosa chinensis, 1013 nucleotides long. RefSeq lists it as uncharacterized. Lineage: Eukaryota; Viridiplantae; Streptophyta; Magnoliopsida; Rosales; Rosaceae. The record is from RefSeq and is a predicted model, not a curated record. The transcript has 6 exons.